Molecule: small nucleolar RNA, 107 nt
Filed under: Gossypium arboreum
Lineage: Eukaryota; Viridiplantae; Streptophyta; Magnoliopsida; Malvales; Malvaceae
Also listed under: 1 other name
Description: Plant small nucleolar RNA R71
Rfam family: Plant small nucleolar RNA R71
About the family: R71 is a member of the C/D box family of snoRNAs containing the C (UGAUGA) and D (CUGA) box motifs. Multiple nearly identical copies of this snoRNA have been identified in Arabidopsis, and it is thought to function as a 2'-O-ribose methylation guide for 18S ribosomal RNA.
Source: Rfam by way of RNAcentral
AUCUCAUGAUGAGGACACUUACGAAGUAACUCCCUAAAUUGCUCCCAAGCCUCAUACAAAGACUCGUCAUCCAAAUUUUAGAAAGUUGUGAUCUCGUUCCUCAACUU